RNAcentral lists this ribosomal RNA (439 nucleotides) under uncultured bacterium. RNAcentral describes it as "partial 16S ribosomal RNA". It matches the Rfam family "Bacterial small subunit ribosomal RNA", at positions 339 to 795 of the family's 1533-position model. The record is from RNAcentral.
CUACGGGCUGCUGCAGUGGGGAAUAUUGCACAAUGGGCGCAAGCCUGAUGCAGCAACGCCGCGUGAACGAUGAAGGUCUUCGGAUCGUAAAGUUCUUUUCUUAGGGAAGAAAAGUGACAGUACCUAAGGAAUAAGCACCGGCUAAAUACGUGCCAGCAGCCGCGGUAAUACGUAUGGUGCAAGCGUUAUCCGGAAUCACUGGGCGUAAAGGGAGCGUAGGCGGUUUUGCAAGUCAGAAGUGAAAGGCUACGGCUCAACCGUGGUAAGCUUUUGAAACUGCAAGACUAGAGUGCAGGAGAGGCAAGUGGAAUUCCUAGUGUAGAGGUGAAAUUCGUAGAUAUUAGGAGGAACACCAGUGGCGAAGGCGACUUGCUGGACUGUAACUGACGCUGAGGCUCGAAAGCGUGGGGAGCGAACAGGAUUAGAUACCCGAGUAGUC